AGGACGAACGCUGGCGGCGUGCUUAACACAUGCAAGUCGAGCGGAAAGGCCCUUCGGGGUACUCGAGCGGCGAACGGGUGAGUAACACGUGAGUAAUCUGCCCUUAGCUCUGGGAUAGCUCCGGGAAAACCGGGAUUAAUACCAGAUACGACCACUUUAGACAUCUGCCGUGGUGGAAAGAAUUUCGGCUAAGGAUGAGCUCGCGGCCUAUCAGCUUGUUGGUGGGGUAACGGCCUACCAAGGCGACGACGGGUAGCCGGCCUGAGAGGGCGACCGGCCACGACUGGGACUGAGACACGGCCCAGACUCCUACGGGAGGCAGCAGUGGGGAAUAUUGCGCAAUGGGCGAAAGCCUGACGCAGCGACGCCGCGUGGGGGAUGAAGGCCUUCGGGUUGUAAACCCUUUCAGCAGGGACGAAGCGAAAGUGACGGUACCUGCAGAAGAAGCGCCGGCUAACUACGUGCCAGCAGCCGC
This 475-nucleotide ribosomal RNA is filed under the name uncultured bacterium. RNAcentral's name for it is "SSU rRNA". It matches the Rfam family "Bacterial small subunit ribosomal RNA", at positions 26 to 518 of the family's 1533-position model. The record is from RNAcentral.